GCCAGGCGUGGUGGCGCCUGCCUGGAAUCCCAGCUACUUGGGCUGAUUCAGGAGAAUUGCUUGAACCCAGGAGGCAGAGGUUGCGGUGAGCUGAGAUUGCCAUUGCACGCCAGCCUGGGCAACAAGAGCGAAACUCCAUCUCAAAAGAAAAAAAAAAAAAGAAUUGUUCAUUCUCCCAGGAGUUGAGGAACAGCAGGUUACCUAAGGAGGGGUGAAGGGAGGUCUCCAGGUCAGAAAUGGAGCAGGUCAAAACUCCCAUGCUCAUCAGUAGUGUGAUUGUGCCUGUGAAUAACCACUGCUGUCCAGCAUUGGCAACAUAGUGAGACCCUAUCUCU
RNAcentral lists this signal recognition particle RNA (335 nucleotides) under Rhinopithecus roxellana (golden snub-nosed monkey). Its description in RNAcentral is "Metazoan signal recognition particle RNA (ENSRROG00000011826.1)". It matches the Rfam family "Metazoan signal recognition particle RNA". From Rfam's summary of the family: The signal recognition particle (SRP) is a universally conserved ribonucleoprotein. It is involved in the co-translational targeting of proteins to membranes. The record is from RNAcentral. Lineage: Eukaryota; Metazoa; Chordata; Mammalia; Primates; Cercopithecidae.